Molecule: unclassified non-coding RNA, 201 nt
Filed under: uncultured Ascomycota
Lineage: Eukaryota; Fungi; Ascomycota
Description: sequence contains ITS1
Source: RNAcentral
CCGAGUUAGGGUCUUCUCAGGCCCGAUCUCCCAACCCUUUGUCGAACUUACCACUUGUUGCUUCGGCGGGCCCGUCCCCCCUUUUAGGAGGACCGUCGGGAGGCUGUCAAACGCCCCCUGGCCCGCGCCCGUCGACAGCCUAAACCAUUAAAUUCUGAAUAAAACGUGUCACGAUCUGAGUAUCUAUUUAAAUAAAGCACA